This is a non-coding RNA of Planctomycetes bacterium RBG_13_46_10, 45 nucleotides long. The record is from Rfam. NCBI's taxonomy places the organism in Bacteria, Pseudomonadati, Planctomycetota.
CAUAUGGAUGUUUUGACAUCCAUUCAUAUUCCAAAGAAGUAAUCU